CCCUAUGGGGUGCAGCAGGCGAGAAACCUUUGCAAUGUGCGCAAGCACGACAAGGUUAAUCCGAGUGUUUCCUGCUAAAGGAAUCUUUUGUUAGUUGUAAAACCACUGAUGAAUAAGGGGUGGGCAAGUUCUGGUGUCAGCCGCCGCGGUAAAACCAGCACCUCAAGUGGUCAGGAUGAUUAUUGGGCCUAAAGCAUCCGUAGCCUGUUCUGUAAGUUUCCGGUUAAAUCCAUUAGCUCAACUAAUGGGCUGCCGAAAAUACUGCAGAACUAGGGAGUGGGAGAGGUAGACGGUACUCGGUAGGAAGGGGUAAAAUCCUUUGAUCUAUUGAUGACCACCUGUGGCGAAGGCGGUCUACCAGAACACGUUCGACGGUGAGGGAUGAAAGCUGGGGGAGCAAACCGGAUUAGAUACCCGGGUAGUCCCAGCUGUAAACGAUGCAGACUCGGUGAUGCCCUGGCUUGUGGCCAGUGCAGUGCCGCAGGGAAGCCGUUAAGUUUGCCGCCUGGGAAGUACGUACGCAAGUAUGAAACUUAAAGGAAUUGGCGGGGGAGCACCACAAGGGGUGAAGCCUGCGGUUCAAUUGGAGUCAACGCCAGAAAUCUUACCCGAAGAGACAGCAGAAUGAAGGUCAAGCUGGAGACUUUACCAGACAAGCUGAGAGGUGGUGCAUGGCC
Molecule: ribosomal RNA, 677 nt
Filed under: uncultured archaeon
Lineage: Archaea
Description: bacterial SSU rRNA
Rfam family: Archaeal small subunit ribosomal RNA
Source: RNAcentral